ACGGGGUGCAGCAGGCGCGAGUUUUUUGCAAUGCACGAAAGUGUGACAGAGCGAGCCAAAGUGCUUUCCCAUAUUGGGGGAGCUUUUGUGGGAUGUAAAAAGUCUCACGAAUAAGGACUGGGCAAGACUGGUGCCAGCCGCCGCGGUAAUACCAGCGGUCCAAGUCGCAACCACAUUUAUUGGGUCUAAAACAUCCGUAGCUUGCUAUGUAAGUUCCUUGUGAAAUCCGGCUUCUUAAGAGUCGAAGUGCGAGGAAUACUGUAUAGCUUGGGACCGGGAGACGCGAGAAGUACGGUUAGGGUAACGGUUAAAUGUGUUGAUCCUAUCUGGACUAACGACAGCGAAGGCAUCUCGCGAGAACGGGUCUGACAGUCAGGGAUGAAGGCUAGGGGCGCAAAACGGAUUAGAUACCCGUGUAGUCCUAGCAGUAAACACUGCACACUAAACAUUGGGGCCUCUUCGAGAGGUCUCAGUGCUGCACCGAAGGGGAAGAGUGUGCUACCUGGGAAGUAUAGUCGCAAGGCUGAAACUUAAAGGAAUUGGCGGGGGAGAC
RNAcentral lists this ribosomal RNA (553 nucleotides) under uncultured archaeon. RNAcentral describes it as "bacterial SSU rRNA". It matches the Rfam family "Archaeal small subunit ribosomal RNA", at positions 325 to 878 of the family's 1478-position model. The record is from RNAcentral.